RNAcentral lists this ribosomal RNA (443 nucleotides) under uncultured bacterium. RNAcentral describes it as "partial 16S ribosomal RNA". It matches the Rfam family "Bacterial small subunit ribosomal RNA", at positions 338 to 795 of the family's 1533-position model. The record is from RNAcentral.
CCUACGUGUGGCAGCAGUGGGGAAUAUUGGGCAAUGGGCGCAAGCCUGACCCAGCAACGCCGCGUGAAGGAAGAAGGAUUUCGGGUUGUAAACUUCUUUUCUCAGGGACGAAGCAAGUGACGGUACCUGAGGAAUAAGCCACGGCCAACUACGUGCCAGCAGCCGCGGUAAUACGUAGGGGGCAAGCGUUAUCCGGUUUUACUGGUUGAAAAGGGGGGGUAGGCGGGAAAGCAAGUCAGAUUUGAAAAGCAUGGGCUCAACCUGUGGCCUGCAUUUGAAACUGUUGUUCUUGAGUACUGGAGAGGCAGACGGAAUUCCUAGUGUAGCUGUGAAAUGCGUAGAUAUUAGGAGGAACACCAGUGGCGAAGGCGGUCUGCUGGACAGCAACUGACGCUGAGGCGCGAAAGCGUGGGGAGCAAACAGGAUUAGAUACCCUUGUAGUC